Long non-coding RNA from Saccostrea echinata, 280 nucleotides. RefSeq lists it as uncharacterized. The transcript is spliced from 3 exons. Lineage: Eukaryota; Metazoa; Mollusca; Bivalvia; Ostreida; Ostreidae. The record is from RefSeq and is a predicted model, not a curated record.
AGCUGAAUAUAUGGAAUUAAGUGAUUCGUCAUACACAGACAGAGACAAAUCGGCAGAAGUCGCCAGUGGAUUGUACUCAAAUACAAAAUAGCAUGGGGAUAUCCACCGGUAAGGGAAUGCCAAACAAAUUCAGUGUUGAUGGUGCUGUCGGUUACCCUGCACAUUUAUACAUCCCUUUAUUUGUUGGUCAUUGAAUAUUUUCCAGAUCAUGGAAAGAGCUAUAAUUGUAUCUCUUUUGAUAUCUUUGAGAUAUGACAAUAAAAAUAAUUUAUUUCAACUG